GGGCCCGCACAAGCGGUGGAUUAUGUGGAUUAAUUCGAUGCAACGCGAAAAAACCUUACCUGGCCUUGACAUGUACCGAAUUUAGCAGAGAUGCUUUAGUGCUCGUAAGAGAACGGUAACACAGGUGCUGCAUGGCUGUCGUCAGCUCGUGUCGUGAGAUGUUGGUUAAGUCCCGCAACGAGCGCAACCCUUGCCAUUAAUUGCCAUCAUUUAGUUGGGCACUUUAAUGGGACUGCCGGUGACAAACCGGAGGAAGGUGGGGAUGACGUCAAGUCCUCAUGGCCCUUAUGGCCAGGGCUUCACACGUAAUACAAUGGUCGGUACAGAGAGCAGCCACUACGCGAGUAGGAG
This 351-nucleotide ribosomal RNA is filed under the name uncultured bacterium. RNAcentral's name for it is "bacterial SSU rRNA". It matches the Rfam family "Bacterial small subunit ribosomal RNA", at positions 917 to 1267 of the family's 1533-position model. The record is from RNAcentral.